This 73-nucleotide transfer RNA is filed under the name Ovis aries (sheep). It matches the Rfam family "tRNA". Rfam says of the family: Transfer RNA (tRNA) molecules are approximately 80 nucleotides in length. Lineage: Eukaryota; Metazoa; Chordata; Mammalia; Artiodactyla; Bovidae. The record is from Rfam by way of RNAcentral.
UUUCUGGUGGUCCAGUGGAUAAGACUCUGAGCUUCUAAUGCAGGGGCCACAGGUUCGAUCCCUGAUCAGGGAA